ACGGGUGCGUAACACGUGAGCAAUCUGCCGAAAAGUGGGGGAUAGCUCGCCGAAAGGCGAAUUAAUACCGCAUAUGGCCAGGGAAGACAUCUUCCCGAAGCUAAAGUCGCAAGACGCUUUUCGAUGAGCUCGCGGCCUAUCAGCUAGUUGGUGAGGUAACGGCUCACCAAGGCAAUGACGGGUAGCUGGUCUGAGAGGACGACCAGCCACACUGGAACUGAGACACGGUCCAGACACCUACGGGUGGCAGCAGUCGAGAAUUUUUCACAAUGGGGGAAACCCUGAUGGAGCGACGCCGCGUGGAGGAUGAAGGCGUUUUCGUCGUAAACUCCUGUCAAAUGGGAACAAGAAAGUGAUAGUACCAUUAGAGGAAGAGACGGCUAACUCUGUGCCAGCAGCCGCGGUAAUACAGAGGUCUCAAGCGUUGUUCGGAUUCAUUGGGCGUAAAGGGUGCGUAGGUGGUUUGGUAAGUUGAAGGUGAAAUCUCGGAGCUUAACUCCGAAACUGCCUUCAAUACUGCCGGACUUGAGGACUGUAGAGGAGAAUGGAAUUCACGGUGUAGCAGUGAAAUGCGUAGA
Molecule: ribosomal RNA, 578 nt
Filed under: uncultured bacterium
Lineage: Bacteria
Description: bacterial SSU rRNA
Rfam family: Bacterial small subunit ribosomal RNA
Source: RNAcentral